Molecule: ribosomal RNA, 397 nt
Filed under: uncultured bacterium
Lineage: Bacteria
Description: partial 16S ribosomal RNA
Rfam family: Bacterial small subunit ribosomal RNA
Source: RNAcentral
AUACGUAGGGGGCGAGCGUUGUCCGGAAUGAUUGGGCGUAAAGGGCGCGUAGGCGGCCCGGUAAGUCUGGAGUGAAAGUCCUGUUUUUAAGAUGGGAAUUGCUUUGGAUACUGUCGGGCUUGAGUGCAGGAGAGGUAAGUGGAAUUCCCAGUGUAGCGGUGAAAUGCGUAGAGAUUGGGAGGAACACCAGUGGCGAAGGCGACUUACUGGGCUGUAACUGACGCUGAGGCGCGAAAGUGUGGGGAGCAAACAGGAUUAGAUACCCUGGUAGUCCACACCGUAAACGAUGAAUGCUAGGUGUAGGGGGUAUCGACCCCUUCUGUGCCGCAGUCAACACAAUAAGCAUUCCGCCUGGGGAGUACGGCCGCAAGGUUGAAACUCAAAUGAAUUGACGGGG